UACCUAGUAGUACGGAAUAGCCAUUAGAAAUGGUGGGUAAUACUGUAUAAUCCCCGAGGGGGAAAGAUUUAUCGCUAUUAGAUGAGCCUACGUUAGAUUAGCUAGUUGGUGAGGUAAUGGCUUACCAAGGCUAUGAUCUAUAGCUGGUCUGAGAGGACGAUCAGCCACACUGGAACUGAGAUACGGUCCAGACUCCUACGGGAGGCAGCAGUGGGGAAUAUUGGACAAUGGGCGAAAGCCUGAUCCAGCUAUGCCGCGUGAGUGAAGA
This 268-nucleotide ribosomal RNA is filed under the name uncultured bacterium. RNAcentral's name for it is "partial 16S ribosomal RNA". It matches the Rfam family "Bacterial small subunit ribosomal RNA", at positions 127 to 411 of the family's 1533-position model. The record is from RNAcentral.